This 460-nucleotide ribosomal RNA is filed under the name uncultured bacterium. Its description in RNAcentral is "partial 16S ribosomal RNA". It matches the Rfam family "Bacterial small subunit ribosomal RNA", at positions 338 to 795 of the family's 1533-position model. The record is from RNAcentral.
CCUACGGGAGGCAUCAGUGAGGAAUAUUGGUCAAUGGCCGUAAGGCUGAACCAGCCAAGUCGCGUGAAGGAAGAAGGAUCUAUGGUUUGUAAACUUCUUGUAUAGGGGAAUAAAGGUAUCCACGUGUGGAUAUUUGCAUGUACCCUAUGAAUAAGCAUCGGCUAACUCCGUGCCAGCAGCCGCGGUAAUACGGAGGAUGCGAGCGUUAUCCGGAUUUAUUGGGUUUAAAGGGUGCGUAGGUUGUUUUUUAAGUCAGCGGUGAAAGUUUGUGGCUCAACCAUAAAAUUGCCGUUGAAACUGGAAGACGUGAGUGUGUUUGAGGUAGGCGGAAUGCGUGGUGUAGCGGUGAAAUGCAUAGAUAUCACGCAGAACUCCGAUUGCGAAGGCAGCUUACUAAGCCAUAACUGACACUGAAGCACGAAAGCGUGGGGAUCAAACAGGAUUAGAUACCCUAGUAGUC